UGGGAUAGGGGACAUGGAGAACACCUUUACAGAGCUGCUUCUCUGGCCCUUGGUACAGAUGAAGCCCAGCUCUGCUCUUCUCCAACCAGGCAGGAGUCUGACCCUCUGUUUCCUGUGCUGGGGAGCCCCUCGCAGCUCAGGAGUGCUGCAUGCCGGGCAGAGCUGGGCUGCUGGGGCAUGCAUAGGGCUGUGCCUGCUGAAGCAGGGCCAGGGCAAAGGUUUCUUUCGCUCUCCGCGUGUUUGGCGCUGACCUGGCAUGGGAGGUGUGGGGUGGAAGGUGGUGAGGAAGGGGAAGGGGCCGUGGCUGGGGAAGCUGUGCCGUGCUGGUGUGUCCCUGUUGGGCUCACAGUGUGGGUGAAAUGGGCAAGUCAGGGCUGAUCUCACCUCCUGGGUGUGCCCGGCUCUGCAUGCUCAUGUGUUGGGAUGGGCUGUGGGGAUUUGCCACAGUCCCUCACUGGAACCCUGGUGAGCAGCCUCAUUCUGCUGGGGGGCAUGGAGCAGGUGACAUGAAAGAGGAUGGUCACCCUCACCUGCAUGCCCCUCGGGGAUGCUGCACCACCUGCAGUGGUGAGCAGGGACCAUGGGAUAGGGUGCUUUGCCAUGGUGGGGCACUGGGGGGGGGUAUUUGGCUGACAGAAUUUGGGAGGCAAAUCACAGGCAUCCUGUCUGAUGAAACCCUGUUUGCAGGGAGCCUGAGCUGCCCCUGUGCUCUGCCGGCUGCCCUGCAUGGACGCUGGGAUGCAGAAUGGGGCUGAGGCAUCACUGGAGGGAUGCCUGAUGGCUGAGGAGCUGGAGGAGAAGCAGCGCCCGGUGGCGCAGUGGACGGUGGCCGAGGCUGGCGCCUGGCUGGCGGCACGCAGCGGGGCCGGGGAGCUGGUGGAGCUGGCACAUGAGCACGAUGUCUCGGGCCGGGUCCUGCUGCGGCUGACGGAGGGGACCCUGCGGCGCAUGGGGGUGACCCCGCGGAGCCGGCGCCGGGACCUGCUGCGGGAGCUGCUGCAACUGCGGCUACAGCAGGAACUCGAGGAGCUGCUGAGCACCGUUGGCAGUGAGCAUCCCCACGCCACAUGUGGGUUGGGGGGGGCAUUGGUUCCCUGGGUGAAUGCUGGUCAUUGUCACCUCUCCUCAGAGUGAAGACAGUGUCACUGCGGAUGUCCUGGAGACUGCAGGAGGACAGAUGGUGCCAUGGGAGGACAAAGCAGUACCUAGGACUGAGCACUUGAUGCAGGAGCAGUGCUGGAGGAAGCCUUGAGGUGACUUUGUCUCCCCUGGAGAAGCCCAAAGCUGGCUGGAAGAGGUGGCCACAGGGCCCCAGGUGGCACAAGUUGAAGGGUGGCUGCUGGCUCCCAGGGCGUCCUCUUGGCUCUGGCACGAUGGGGCACUCUACCAGCCCUCCCCCCGUCUCCGAUCCUGCUGCAACCAUGAAGCAGCCUGGCCUCAGGAGUGAUCCUCCAGUCUGUCUGUGGCGUAGGGCAUAGGGGGACAAGUUCCCAAGUUGCUGUGUAGAGGAACCUGUCUCCUUGGUGCCCUGGGGCUGGCAGGAGCAGGGCAGCAGAGCCCAGAACAGAACUGGUCUUAAUAAACAUUGUCCUGGUAAGUCCAGAGGGGUCCCCACUCUGAGGACCUUGAAAAGGGCUGAAAGCCCAAACCCAGCCACCACAGCCCAGGACAGGGAGUCUGCAGCCUCCUCUGCCCUGGUAUUUUUCUGGCCCUAAACUUCUGCACCGGUGCAAAGGGCCGGCCGUGAGCUGCAGGGCAGGAUCCAUCCCCAGGACCCGAUUCUCCAGAGAAGAAGAGUGGGGCAAGCAGUCCUUCCUCCCACACUACCCUGCUGUGGUCUCCCGAGUCUCAUGUGGUCCAAGGGUCUGGCUGCAUCCUGUUGACCCCUGUGGUCGGGCACCCUGAAUCCUGGUACUGGCACUAUCUGUGCCUGCUUGCUGUGCUGGAAAAUGUGGUGGGAGCUGAGCAGGCAGCCCUGUUGAGCCGAGGGACAGGAAACAGUUUGUUUUCUGCUUAUUUUAGCGCAGAUCAUGGGCAGAUUGAGAGUUUACUUUUUUUUUCACCUAGCUUGCGAAACAGGCAUUGUUUCCCAGAAAUAAAAUCCCUUCCUGGAAAGGGCUCAGACAGCCCACAGAACUGAAUUGGCUCCUCAGGCUCAUGUGUUUUCACACAAAAAGCCUCACUUCUCUUUUCCUAGGUGAAGACUUUAUCCUCUAAACAUCUCUUGAAGAUGGAGGAUGCCAAGAGGUGCUGCUCUGGCAAGUCUUCCUGCAGGAACCAGC
Melopsittacus undulatus (budgerigar) is the source of this 2282-nucleotide long non-coding RNA. Lineage: Eukaryota; Metazoa; Chordata; Aves; Psittaciformes; Psittaculidae. The record is from Ensembl.